CCUACGGGAGGCAGCAGUGGGGAAUAUUGCACAAUGGGCGCAAGCCCGAUGCAGCCAUGCCGCGUGUGUGAAGAAGGCCUUCGGGUUGUAAAGCACUUUCAGCGGGGAGGAAGGCGGUGAGGUUAAUAACCUCAUCGAUUGACGUUACCCGCAGAAGAAGCACCGGCUAACUCCGUGCCAGCAGCCGCGGUAAUACGGAGGGUGCAAGCGUUAAUCGGAAUUACUGGGCGUAAAGCGCACGCAGGCGGUCUGUCAAGUCGGAUGUGAAAUCCCCGGGCUCAACCUGGGAACUGCAUUCGAAACUGGCAGGCUAGAGUCUUGUAGAGGGGGGUAGAAUUCCAGGUGUAGCGGUGAAAUGCGUAGAGAUCUGGGGGAAUACCGGUGGCGAAGGCGGCCCCCUGGACAAAGACUGACGCUCAGGUGCGAAAGCGUGGGGAGCAAACAGGAUUAGAUACCCGUGUAGUC
This 465-nucleotide ribosomal RNA is filed under the name uncultured Klebsiella sp. RNAcentral's name for it is "bacterial SSU rRNA". It matches the Rfam family "Bacterial small subunit ribosomal RNA", at positions 338 to 795 of the family's 1533-position model. The record is from RNAcentral. Lineage: Bacteria; Pseudomonadati; Pseudomonadota; Gammaproteobacteria; Enterobacterales; Enterobacteriaceae.